RNAcentral lists this microRNA (22 nucleotides) under Gorilla gorilla (western gorilla). RNAcentral's name for it is "ggo-miR-766". Its record names the gene ggo-miR-766. Lineage: Eukaryota; Metazoa; Chordata; Mammalia; Primates; Hominidae. The record is from miRBase by way of RNAcentral. RNAcentral also lists the same sequence under 5 other names.
ACUCCAGCCCCACAGCCUCAGC